AUUGAACGCUGGCGGCAGGCUUAACACAUGCAAGUCGAGCGGGGGAAGGUAGCUUGCUACCGGACCUAGCGGCGGACGGGUGAGUAAUGCUUAGGAAUCUGCCUAUUAGUGGGGGACAACAUCUCGAAAGGGAUGCUAAUACCGCAUACGUCCUACGGGAGAAAGCAGGGGAUCUUCGGACCUUGCGCUAAUAGAUGAGUCUAAGUCGGAUUAGCUAGUUGGGGGGGUAAAGGCUUACCAAGGCGGCGAUCUGUAGCGGGUUUGAGAGGAUGAUCCGACACACUGGGACUGGGACACGGCCCAGACUCCUACGGGAGGCAGCAGUGGGGAAUAUUGGACAAUGGGGGGAACCCUGAUCCAGCCAUGCCGCGUGUGUGAAGAAGGCCUUAUGGUUGUAAAGCACUUUAAGCGAGGAGGAGGCUACUUUAGUUAAUACCUAGAGAUAGUGGACGUUACUCGCAGAAUAAGCACCGGCUAACUCUGUGCCAGCCGCCGCGGUAA
This 501-nucleotide ribosomal RNA is filed under the name uncultured bacterium. RNAcentral describes it as "partial 16S ribosomal RNA". It matches the Rfam family "Bacterial small subunit ribosomal RNA", at positions 30 to 523 of the family's 1533-position model. The record is from RNAcentral.